This 336-nucleotide unclassified non-coding RNA is filed under the name soil metagenome. Its description in RNAcentral is "partial contains 5.8S ribosomal RNA, internal transcribed spacer 2, and large subunit ribosomal RNA". The stretch from base 1 to 120 matches the Rfam family "5.8S ribosomal RNA", at positions 35 to 154 of the family's 154-position model. The record is from RNAcentral.
GAUGAAGAACGCAGUGAAAUGCGAUAAGUAAUGUGAAUUGCAGAAUUCAGUGAAUCAUCGAAUCUUUGAACGCACAUUGCGCCCGCCAGUAUUCUGGCGGGCAUGCCUGUUCGAGCGUCAUUUCAACCAUCAAGCCCCCGGCUUGUGUUGGGGACCUGCGGCUGCCGCAGGCCCUGAAAACCAGUGGCGGGCUCGCUGUCACACCGAGCGUAGUAGAUUUUCAUCUCGCUCAGGGCGUGCUGCGGGUUCCGGCCGUAAAAAGCCUUAUUUACCCAAGGUUGACCUAGGAUCAGGUAGGAAGACCCGCUGAACUUAAGCAUAUCAAUAAGCGGAGGA